UACGAAGGGGGCUAGCGUUGCUCGGAAUUACUGGGCGUAAAAGGGCGCGUAGGCGGAUAGUUUAGUCAGAGGUAAAAGCCCAGGGCUCAACCUUGGAACUGCCUUUGAUACUGGCUAUCUUGAGUUCGGGAGAGGUGAGUGGAAUGCCGAGUGUAGAGGUGAAAUUCGUAGAUAUUCGGCGGAACACCAGUGGCGAAGGCGACUCACUGGCCCGAUACUGACGCUGAGGCGCGAAAGCGUGGGGAGCAAACAGG
RNAcentral lists this ribosomal RNA (254 nucleotides) under uncultured bacterium. RNAcentral describes it as "partial 16S ribosomal RNA". It matches the Rfam family "Bacterial small subunit ribosomal RNA", at positions 524 to 776 of the family's 1533-position model. The record is from RNAcentral.